GACGAACGCUGGCGGCGUGCCUAAUACAUGCAAGUAGAACGCUGAAGGCGGAGCUUGCUUCUCUGGAUGAGUUGCGAACGGGUGAGUAACGCGUAGGUAACCUGCCUGGUAGUGGGGGAUAACUAUUGGAAACGAUAGCUAAUCCCGCAUAAUAGCAGUUGCUGCAUGAUAACUGUUUGAAAGGUGCAAUUGCACCGCUACCAGAUGGACCUGCGUUGUAUUAGCUAGUUGGUGGGGUAACGGCUCACCAAGCCGACGAUACAUAGCCGACCUGAGAGGGUGAUCGGCCACACUGGGACGGAGACACGGCCCAGACUCCUACGGGAGGCAGCAGUAGGGAAUCUUCGGCAAUGGACGGAAGUCUGACCGAGCAACGCCGCGUGAGUGAAGAAGGUUUUCGGAUCGUAAAGCUCUGUUGUAAGAGAAGAACGAGUGUGAGAGUGGAAAGUUCACACUGUGACGGUAUCUUACCAGAAAGGGACGGCUAACUACGUG
Molecule: ribosomal RNA, 495 nt
Filed under: uncultured bacterium
Lineage: Bacteria
Description: partial 16S ribosomal RNA
Rfam family: Bacterial small subunit ribosomal RNA
Source: RNAcentral